AACAUUUCAUUUUUCCUGCAUUUUUGUCUUUUGUUCUUUUCUUUUUUUUUAUUUUUUUUUUAUACCUGCUGAGUUUGUCUUAGUUUUGUUAAUGUAGAGCCAGUAAUGCGUUAUCAUUACUGCUUUUUUUCUGCCUUGUAUAUGUUAGAUUUCUGUUGCUACCACACCACUGACGUUUGUUCAACAACAGUGGAUUUCAAUCCUGCGCCCAGAAGCCUCACUUGAAGACUCCUCACUGCGACGCUCUGUAAAUUUUAAAGCUCCCGUCCAGGAGACUGGUGGAAAUAAUGAAUACAUCUGACUGACAGAUUUACAGAUGGUGUUAAAGUGAAUUAACAGGAUGACAGGAUUACCACCACGCAGUGUGGUUGUUUGCUGCUGUGCGGUCACCCGUAUGUGGCUAUCCAUGAGGAACAACUGCUCGGGAUAAUUGUGUUUUCCUGGUGAAUUCUGAUUUUCCGCUGGCAAAACGUUUGGGAAAUCAUGCAGCACCAGGCUGGAACAGUGUUGUUUACUCAGUUUGGUGUUCCUGUGUGCUUUUUGGUGUCUUUCAAAUCGUUGUUAAAAUUGGAACUAUAUUUGACGAGCUGUAUAAUAAGUCGGUGCUGCAAAUUAAAAAAGAUGUUUUGAAUUUUUAACUAGAGCCUGACUGAGGCCACAUUUUUGGAACUGUUGGGGACUUUUAAGGAAUAAAAAGUUCUGAAUAUGUGGAAAUAAAUACACUAUUGCUAA
This is a long non-coding RNA of Pundamilia nyererei, 732 nucleotides long. RefSeq lists it as uncharacterized. NCBI's taxonomy places the organism in Eukaryota, Metazoa, Chordata, Actinopteri, Cichliformes, Cichlidae. The record is from RefSeq and is a predicted model, not a curated record. The transcript is spliced from 2 exons.